RNAcentral lists this transfer RNA (82 nucleotides) under Deferribacterales bacterium. Its description in RNAcentral is "tRNA-Leu". It matches the Rfam family "tRNA". From Rfam's summary of the family: Transfer RNA (tRNA) molecules are approximately 80 nucleotides in length. Their secondary structure includes four short double-helical elements and three loops (D, anti-codon, and T loops). Lineage: Bacteria; Pseudomonadati; Deferribacterota; Deferribacteres; Deferribacterales. The record is from RNAcentral. RNAcentral also lists the same sequence under 2 other names.
GCGAGUGUGGCGGAACUGGUAGACGCGCUAGACUUAGGAUCUAGUGUCUUUCGGCGUGGGGGUUCAAGUCCCUCCACUCGCA